Molecule: ribosomal RNA, 532 nt
Filed under: uncultured bacterium
Lineage: Bacteria
Description: bacterial SSU rRNA
Rfam family: Bacterial small subunit ribosomal RNA
Source: RNAcentral
AGCAAUCCAUGAGUAAAGUGGCGUACGGGUGAGUAACACGUGACUAACCUACCCUCGAGUGGGGAAUAACUCGCCGAAAGGCGAGCUAAUACCGCAUAACACUUACGGGUCAAAGCAGCAAUGCGCUUGAGGAGGGGGUCGCGGCCGAUUAGCUAGUUGGCGGGGUAAUGGCCCACCAAGGCGAUGAUCGGUAUCCGGCCUGAGAGGGCGCACGGACACACUGGAACUGAAACACGGUCCAGACUCCUACGGGAGGCAGCAGUGGGGAAUUUUGCGCAAUGGGGGAAACCCUGACGCAGCAACGCCGCGUGGAGGAUGAAAUCCCUUGGGAUGUAAACUCCUUUCGAUCGGGACGAUUAUGACGGUACCGGAAGAAGAAGCCCCGGCUAACUUCGUGCCAGCAGCCGCGGUAAUACGAGGGGGGCGAGCGUUGUUCGGAAUUAUUGGGCGUAAAGGGCGCGUAGGCGGUUUAGCAAGUCUUAUGUGAAAUCUUCGGGCUCAACUCGAAGCCUGCAUGAGAAACUGCUGGGCU